This is a long non-coding RNA of Heterocephalus glaber (naked mole-rat), 969 nucleotides long. RefSeq lists it as uncharacterized. Lineage: Eukaryota; Metazoa; Chordata; Mammalia; Rodentia; Bathyergidae. The record is from RefSeq and is a predicted model, not a curated record.
CAAGUUAGCGAGCGACGGUGUGUGUUUACAGCUUUGUUACCAAGGAGUCAGUUGAUUCUUCCCGCUGAAGCUGAAAUGAAAUCACAGCCCGGUCUAUGAGAUCACUCUUUCCACUUUUCCAGAAACAUUCUCUUCUCCUUGAAGAGCCAAUGAGAGAGGUGGACAGCAGGUAGGGAUGGACCCCAAAGCCAACUGCGCCCCACCAGCCCUCUUUCGAUGCCCGCCAGCCUCUGCUCUGGAAGUCUUGGCUCCUAAGGUGACACCUGGUUGUAGAAAGACUGAGUCCCUGGGAGUAAAAUCUGGGUGUUAGGCCUGCAGAUGCCGUAGCAACGUCGCGAGUCCACACUACAAAGACGCAGAGGACACUGGACCAUCAGACCACUAUACUGGGUAAGAGCAAUAACAUGGGUGGAAGGAGCCUUUUAGGAACUUCUGGAGGAAGCUGGUAUGAUUGUUUUGAGCAGGAAAAACUUCUAAAUUCUUCAAACAACAAAAUUAACUUCAAACCUCACAACAUAUUAGGCAAUCAUUCAUCACUUUGUGCUUAUGAAGCAGUCACAUGUAGGAUAAAAAACUUGGGAAAUACAACAAAAAUGUCAAGGAGAUGAUGGAAGUGCCCCGAAAUCCACCACUCGGAGACGACCACCCCACACACCACACCGUUUAGAAGCCCUGACCCUCUCCAGAAGGCUGGAACCUAACUGGUGUUCUUACUUAACAUUGCCCCAUGCACAUUUUCCGAUGUUUCUAAAAGUCUUAGGAAAUAGUUUAUACUGGUGGUGUAAGAUUUCAUCACUUGAUUUUCCAUUAUUUGUUUGAAGACAAAUGUUUGAUGACGGGUGUGGUGGUUAUUUCCCGAUUUCAUUGUUAUAAAUGAGGUGAACAUCUCCUCACAUACAUCAUUGUCUCAUUUUUUAUCAUUUCCUCGAAGUGGGUGAGUCAGCGAGGUGAUUCCAGGCAAAGGUGCUG